AAGGAAUAUUGGUCAAUGGACGCAAGUCUGAACCAGCCAUGCCGCGUGAAGGAUGAAGGUCCUCUGGAUUGUAAACUUCUUUUAUCUGGGACGAAAACGGGAUUUUUAUCUCAAUUGACGGUACCAGAGGAAUAAGCACCGGCUAACUCCGUGCCAGCAGCCGCGGUAAUACGGAGGGUGCGAGCGUUAUCCGGAUUUACUGGGUUUAAAGGGUGCGUAGGUGGGCUUAUAAGUCAGUGGUGAAAUCUCCGAGCUUAACUUGGAAACUGCCGUUGAUACUAUAGGUCUUGAAUUAUCUGGAGGUAAGCGGAAUAUGUCAUGUAGCGGUGAAAUGCUUAGAUAUGACAUAGAACACCAAUUGCGAAGGCAGCUUACUACAUAUAAAUUGACGCUGCGGCACGAAAGCGUGGGGAUCAAACA
This 420-nucleotide ribosomal RNA is filed under the name uncultured bacterium. RNAcentral describes it as "bacterial SSU rRNA". It matches the Rfam family "Bacterial small subunit ribosomal RNA", at positions 356 to 774 of the family's 1533-position model. The record is from RNAcentral.